RNAcentral lists this non-coding RNA (179 nucleotides) under Domibacillus epiphyticus. Its description in RNAcentral is "6S / SsrS RNA". It matches the Rfam family "6S / SsrS RNA". From Rfam's summary of the family: E. coli 6S RNA was the first non coding RNA to be sequenced, but its function was unknown until recently. Lineage: Bacteria; Bacillati; Bacillota; Bacilli; Caryophanales; Bacillaceae. The record is from Rfam by way of RNAcentral.
UAUCUCCUGCGAUGUGCGUUAAGCCUUUUUGUUUUGAACCGUACGUUUUGACCGGGAUUCUUAUAUCUGUUGUUGACAGCCAUGCCUGGGGACAGGAUCGCAAAAACAUCAACAUGCGGAAACCCACCUGCUAAUGCGGGUUCUCAAAACAGAUAGGAGACGGCAUCAGUGGGUAAUCC